This 253-nucleotide ribosomal RNA is filed under the name uncultured bacterium. RNAcentral describes it as "partial 16S ribosomal RNA". It matches the Rfam family "Bacterial small subunit ribosomal RNA", at positions 524 to 776 of the family's 1533-position model. The record is from RNAcentral.
UACGUAGGGUGCAAGCGUUGUUCGGAAUCACUGGGCGUAAAGGGCGUGUAGGCGGUCUGUUAAGUCUGAUGUGAAAGCCCGGGGCUCACCCCCGGAAGUGCAUUGGAUACUGGCGGACUCGAGUCUCGGAGAGGAGGGUGGAAUUCCUGGUGUAGCGGUGAAAUGCGUAGAUAUCAGGAGGAACACCGGUGGCGAAGGCGGCCCUCUGGACGAUGACUGACGCUGAGACGCGAAAGCGUGGGGAGCAAACAGG